RNAcentral lists this ribosomal RNA (483 nucleotides) under uncultured bacterium. RNAcentral describes it as "partial 16S ribosomal RNA". It matches the Rfam family "Bacterial small subunit ribosomal RNA", at positions 28 to 507 of the family's 1533-position model. The record is from RNAcentral.
GACGAACGCUGGCGGCGUGCCUAACACAUGCAAGUCGAGCGGGGAUUUAAGUGGAAGUUCUUCGGAAUGGAGAUUUAAAUUCUAGCGGCGGACGGGUGAGUAACGCGUGAACAAUCUGUCCCGGACAGGGGGAUAACACUUGGAAACAGGUGCUAAUACCGCAUAAGACCACGGCCUCGCAUGGGGCUGAGGUAAAAGGAGCAAUCCGGUUCGGGGUGAGUUCGCGUCCGAUUAGCUAGUUGGUGAGGUAACGGCCCACCAAGGCGACGAUCGGUAGCCGGCCUGAGAGGGUGAACGGCCACAUUGGAACUGAGAGACGGUCCAAACUCCUACGGGAGGCAGAAGUGGGGAAUAUUGGGCAAUGGGCGAAAGCCUGACCCAGCAACGCCGCGUGAGGGAAGAAGGUUUUCGGAUUGUAAACCUCUGUCCUAUGGGACGAAGGAAGUGACGGUACCAUAGGAGGAAGCCCCGGCUAACUACGUG